UACGGGGGGGUAAGCGUUGUUCGGAAUUACUGGGCUUAAAGGGCUCGUAGGCGGCCAACUAAGUCAUACGUGAAAUCCCUCAGCUUAACUGGGGAACUGCGUGUGAUACUGGAUGGCUUGGAUUUGGGAGAGGGAUGCGGAAUUCCAGGUGUAGCGGUGAAAUGCGUAGAUAUCUGGAGGAACACCGGUGGCGAAGGCGGCAUCCUGGACCAACACUGACACUGAUGAGCGAAAGCCAGGGGAGCAAACGGG
This 252-nucleotide ribosomal RNA is filed under the name uncultured bacterium. Its description in RNAcentral is "partial 16S ribosomal RNA". It matches the Rfam family "Bacterial small subunit ribosomal RNA", at positions 524 to 776 of the family's 1533-position model. The record is from RNAcentral.